GACGAACGCUGGCGGCGUGCCUAAUACAUGCAAGUUGAGCGCUGAAGGUUGGUACUUGUACCGACUGGAUGAGCAGCGAACGGGUGAGUAACGCGUGGGGAAUCUGCCUUUGAGCGGGGGACAACAUUUGGAAACGAAUGCUAAUACCGCAUAAAAACUUUAAACACAAGUUUUAAGUUUGAAAGAUGCAAUUGCAUCACUCAAAGAUGAUCCCGCGUUGUAUUAGCUAGUUGGUGAGGUAAAGGCUCACCAAGGCGAUGAUACAUAGACGACCUGAGAGGGUGAUCGGCCACAUUGGGACUGAGACACGGCCCAAACUCCUACGGGAGGCAGCAGUAGGGAAUCUUCGGCAAUGGACGAAAGUCUGACCGAGCAACGCCGCGUGAGUGAAGAAGGUUUUCGGAUCGUAAAACUCUGUUGGUAGAGAAGAACGUUGGUGAGAGUGGAAAGCUCAUCAAGUGACGGUAACUACCCAGAAAGGGACGGCUAACUACGUG
Molecule: ribosomal RNA, 497 nt
Filed under: uncultured bacterium
Lineage: Bacteria
Description: partial 16S ribosomal RNA
Rfam family: Bacterial small subunit ribosomal RNA
Source: RNAcentral